This 350-nucleotide long non-coding RNA is filed under the name Brassica napus (rape). RNAcentral's name for it is "long non-coding RNA (BNAP_LNC022385)". The record is from RNAcentral. Lineage: Eukaryota; Viridiplantae; Streptophyta; Magnoliopsida; Brassicales; Brassicaceae.
GUGGUACUUACCAAAGUGUUGGGUUUUAAAAGCCGCGUGUAUUAUAUUAGUGUAGUGGAACAAUUUAGUUAAAUGGGCCUAACAGUCGGAAAGCAUAGAAAAUAGCGGCCUUAAAGCAAUCGAUAUUAUAUAAUAAAAGGGCCUAAAUGAUAAUGCCCCAAAUCCAAAAGCAAUUACUACGAUGUGGAUUACAACACGUGGCAGAAAUCUAACGCUAUAUGGUCACUCCUUUCGUUUUCAGUUCCCAAAUCCCGAUAAUGAUCUCGAGCCACACAGCCAUCGGACAUAUCCAGCCGCCGCAUAAACCGGUCAUUACCCUUCAUAACCAACAUGCCGGUUUUAGUUUAGUG